RNAcentral lists this small RNA (101 nucleotides) under Salmonella enterica. RNAcentral describes it as "Hfq binding sRNA". It matches the Rfam family "STnc490 Hfq binding RNA", at positions 24 to 124 of the family's 124-position model. RNAcentral also lists the same sequence under 2 other names. Lineage: Bacteria; Pseudomonadati; Pseudomonadota; Gammaproteobacteria; Enterobacterales; Enterobacteriaceae. The record is from RNAcentral.
CCGGAAAGCUUUCAGCUUUAAGCCAGUUAUUAAAACCCCUUUUGAUUUGUUAAAACAUCUUGCGGUCUGGCAACUGCAAAAGUUCAACAAGAAAUCAAAAG